RNAcentral lists this ribosomal RNA (253 nucleotides) under uncultured bacterium. RNAcentral describes it as "partial 16S ribosomal RNA". It matches the Rfam family "Bacterial small subunit ribosomal RNA", at positions 524 to 776 of the family's 1533-position model. The record is from RNAcentral.
UACGAAGGGGGCGAGCGUUGUUCGGAACCACUGGGCGUAAAGGGCGCGUAGGCGGCCCUUCUUGUCGCGUGUGAAAGCCCCGGGCUCAACCUGGGAAUGGCGAUGGAUACUGGCUCGCUAGAGUGCGGUAGAGGAGAGUGGAAUUCCCGGUGUAGCAGUGAAAUGCGUAGAGAUCGGGAGGAACAUCAGUUGCGAAGGCGGCUCUCUGGACCAGCACUGACACUGAGGCACGAAAGCGUGGGGAGCAAACAGG